GCGAAUGGCUCAUUAUAUAAGUUAUCGUUUAUUUGAUAGUAUCUUGCUACUUGGAUAACCGUGGUAAUUCUAGAGCUAAUACAUGCUAAAAAUCCCGACUUCGGAAGGGAUGUAUUUAUUAGAUUAAAAACCAAUGCCCUCUGGGCUCUCUUGGUGAAUCAUGAUAACUUCUCGAAUCGCAGGGCCUUGCGCCGGCGAUGGUUCAUUCAAAUUUCUUCCCUAUCAACUUUCGAUGUUUGGGUAGUGGCCAAACAUGGUUGCAACGGGUAACGGAGGGUUAGGGCUCGACCCCGGAGAAGGAGCCUGAGAAACGGCUACUACAUCCAAGGAAGGCAGCAGGCGCGCAAAUUACCCAAUCCCGAUCCGGGGAGGUAGUGACAAUAAAUACUGAUACAGGGCUCUUUUGGGUCUUGUAAUUGGAAUGAGUACAAUUUAAAUCCCUUAACGAGGAACAAUUGGAGGGCAAGUCUGGUGCCAGCAGCCGCGGUAAUUCCAGCUCCAAUAGCGUAUAUUAAAGUUGUUGUGGUUAAAAAGCUCGUAGUUGAACCUUGGGCCUGGCUGGCCGGUCCGCCUCACCGCGUGCACUGGUCCGGCCGGGCCUUUCCCUCUGUGGAACCCCAUGCCCUUCACUGGGUGUGGCGGGGAAACAGGACUUUUACUUUGAAAAAAUUAGAGUGCUCCAGGCAGGCCUAUGCUCGAAUACAUUAGCAUGGAAUAAUGAAAUAGGACGUGCGGUUCUAUUUUGUUGGUUUCUAGGACCGCCGUAAUGAUUAAUAGGGACAGUCGGGGGCAUCAGUAUUCAAUUGUCAGAGGUGAAAUUCUUGGAUUUAUUGAAGACUAACUACUGCGAAAGCAUUUGCCAAGGAUGUUUUCAUUAAUCAGGAACGAAAGUUAGGGGAUCGAAGACGAUCAGAUACCGUCGUAGUCUUAACCAUAAACUAUGCCGACUAGGGAUCGGACGAUGUUAUUUUUUGACUCGUUCGGCACCUUACGAGAAAUCAAAGUGCUUGGGCUCCAGGGGGAGUAUGGUCGCAAGGCUGAAACUUAAAGAAAUUGACGGAAGGGCACCACCAGGGGUAAACCUGACCUGUGAAGCCGCAGUCAACUCUGCUCCAGAAAGCCGCCCGAAAGGGUCGGUGGUGUUCCUAGGGGAGAGCUCUCCCCUAAACUAAUGGCUAGUCCUGCCGCCCGCGGCAGGGCGACACCCUCAAACUGACGGGGAACUCCUAAAGCCCUCGCUCCGGACAGGCGUCGGGAAACCGACGGCCUGCUCACCAGGCUAACGACCUCGGGUAUCGGAAGCAACGCGAGAGGAUGCUACAAUGGACAAUCCGCAGCCAAGCCCCUACGGUGCGGCCUCUACGGGGGUCGCAUACGGGGAAGGUUCAGAGACUUGACGGGGGUGGGUGGCGCGGGCUCUUGGGGUGCAAGCCGCGUGCUUGCUUGCAGGCCCAGGCGCCCGCCGCUGCCUAAGAUAAAGUCCGGGCGUGCGCGAAAGCGUGCGCGGCAACCACGCAACCCGCCGUUUCCAGCGGGUGCGAGGCCCCAGAAGUAAAAACAACCGGGAGCCUGCGGCUUAAUUUGACUCAACACGGGGAAACUCACCAGGUCCAGACACAAUGAGGAUUGACAGAUUGAGAGCUCUUUCUUGAUUUUGUGGGUGGUGGUGCAUGGCCGUUCUUAGUUGGUGGAGUGAUUUGUCUGCUUAAUUGCGAUAACGAACGAGACCUUAACCUGCUAAAUAGCCCGUAUUGCUUUGGCAGUACGCCGGCUUCUUAG
Molecule: ribosomal RNA, 1779 nt
Filed under: Ustilaginoidea virens
Lineage: Eukaryota; Fungi; Ascomycota; Sordariomycetes; Hypocreales; Clavicipitaceae
Description: bacterial SSU rRNA
Rfam family: Eukaryotic small subunit ribosomal RNA
Source: RNAcentral